GUGAACAAGAUACAGGCUAGCGGCGGACGGGUGAGUAACACGUGGGAACGUACCUUUUGGUUCGGAACAACUGAGGGAAACUUCAGCUAAUACCGGAUAAGCCCUAACGGGGAAAGAUUUAUCGCCGAAAGAUCGGCCCGCGUCUGAUUAGCUAGUUGGUAGGGUAAUGGCCCACCAAGGCGACGAUCAGUAGCUGGUCUGAGAGGAUGAUCAGCCACAUUGGGACUGAGACACGGCCCAAACUCCUACGGGAGGCAGCAGCC
RNAcentral lists this ribosomal RNA (263 nucleotides) under uncultured Rhodopseudomonas sp. RNAcentral describes it as "partial 16S ribosomal RNA". It matches the Rfam family "Bacterial small subunit ribosomal RNA", at positions 78 to 355 of the family's 1533-position model. Lineage: Bacteria; Pseudomonadati; Pseudomonadota; Alphaproteobacteria; Hyphomicrobiales; Nitrobacteraceae. The record is from RNAcentral.